CUUUGGGUUGUAAACUGCUUUUAUAUAGGAAGAACUGUAGAGACUUGUCUUUAUUUGACGGUACUAUAUGAAUAAGGACCGGCUAACUACGUGCCAGCAGCCGCGGUAAUACGUAGGGUCCGAGCGUUAUCCGGAAUUAUUGGGUUUAAAGGGUCCGUAGGCGGGUCUUUAAGUCAGUGGUGAAAGCCUGCAGCUUAACUGUAGAAUUGCCAUUGAUACUGAUAGUCUUGAGUGUGGUUGAAGUGGGCGGAAUAUGACAUGUAGCGGUGAAAUGCAUAGAGAUGUCAUAGAACACCGAUUGCGAAGGCAGCUCACUAAACCAUUACUGACGCUCAGGGACGAAAGCGUGGGUAGCGAACAGGAUUAGAUACCCUGGUAGUCCACGCUGUAAACGAUGUUCACUAGACGUCGGGGGUUAGGCCUCCGGUGUCGCAGCUAACGCAUUAAGUGAACCGCCUGGGGAGUACGGCCGCAAGGUUAAAACUCAAAGGAAUUGACGGGGGCUCACACAAGCGGUGGAGGAUGUGGCUUAAUUCGAGGCAACGCGAAGAACCUUAUCCCGGACUUGACAUCUAUGGAUUAGCAUUGUGAAAGCAGUGUGACGCCUUCGGGUGGAACAUAGACAGGUGCUGCAUGGCUGUCGUCAGCUCGUGCCG
Molecule: ribosomal RNA, 656 nt
Filed under: Schmidingerella taraikaensis
Lineage: Eukaryota; Ciliophora; Spirotrichea; Tintinnida; Rhabdonellidae
Description: partial Bacterial small subunit ribosomal RNA
Rfam family: Bacterial small subunit ribosomal RNA
Source: RNAcentral